Bison bison bison is the source of this 79-nucleotide microRNA precursor. The record is from Ensembl. Lineage: Eukaryota; Metazoa; Chordata; Mammalia; Artiodactyla; Bovidae.
GGACAGAGGAUUGGGGGUAGAGGUGGGCAGGAGGGGCCUCUCCUUCAAGCCUUUCUCGUGCCCACGCUAUCCUCCAGGG